GUGAGGAAUUGGGGAGUGAGGAGACAUCAUGUGGGGUGACAGCAUGACUCCUUCUUCAAAUCUUCUAGCUGAGAAGCUGAGUCGGAGAUUUUUUUGCCAUCGCUUGCUACUCUUGGUUGGCAUUUCCUGAUCUUCCUUUCCCUUACACACAAAUGCCCGUAUCCUUUUAAGUGCAGCUUCCACAGUUUCAUCGUCCAUAUUGGCAAAACACACCCUAAACCAACCAGGCUCCUUGCAGUGAAAAGAAGAGCCCGGCGAAACAUUGAGCUUCACUUGGUAAAUAAUCACCCUCCACAGAGCCAUUUCCCCUUCGAACGUUGGUUCUUUAAGGAGAUGGCGCAAGUCCAUCCAAACAUAGAGACCAGCAUUGCCUUUUAAACAACUGAUCCCUACUUGUUCCAGUCCCUUUGUGAACAUAUUGUGCCUUUUGUUUAGCCUUCUUGAGCUUUCCGCAAGAAAAUUCUUCACAAACUCCUCAUCCGAAAGCAUGGAAGCCAGCAUAUAUUGAGUCUGAGAAGAGACUAACCCAAAGCUUGACAUCCUGCGACCGCAGUUCACGACUGCAUCGUUAUAGGAAUAAACGAUGCCAACUCUGAAGCCAGGG
This 604-nucleotide unclassified non-coding RNA is filed under the name Hevea brasiliensis (rubber tree). The record is from RNAcentral. Lineage: Eukaryota; Viridiplantae; Streptophyta; Magnoliopsida; Malpighiales; Euphorbiaceae.